This is a non-coding RNA of Podarcis lilfordi (Lilford's wall lizard), 934 nucleotides long. The record is from the annotation of a GenBank genome assembly. NCBI's taxonomy places the organism in Eukaryota, Metazoa, Chordata, Lepidosauria, Squamata, Lacertidae.
GUAUGCAAAGCUAAUUUUUAAAAUUCUAUUAGACUGUUGGGAUUUAAUUAUUUUUUUUAAAACCAGGGACUAUUCCGUGAUAUGUACCAGUUGCUAGACAAAUGUGUGUUACACGGACAAUAAUACCGUCAUUUGAAGAACUGCUUUAUUUUUGUUGUUGUUUAGUCGUGUCCGACUCUUCGUGACCCCAUGGAUCAGAGCACGCCAGGCAUUGCUGUCUUCCACUGCCUCCCGCAGUUUGGUCAAACUCAUGCUGGUAGCUUCGAGAACACUGUCCAACCAUCUCGUCCUCUGUUGUCCCCUUCUCCUUGUGCCCUCAAUCUUUCCCAACAUCAGGGUCUUUUCCAGGGAGUCUUCUCUUCUCAUGAGAAUUCAGUAUUGGAGAAAGUAUUGGAGACUCAGCUUCAGGAUCUGUCCUUCCAGUGAGCACUCAGGGCUGAAUUCCUUAAGAAUGGAUAGGUUUGAUCUUCUUGCAGUUCAUGGGACUCUCAAGAGUCUCCUCCAGCGCCAUAAUUCAAAAGCAUCAAUUCUUCGGCGAUCAGCCUUCUUUAUGGUCCAGCUCUCACUUCCAUACAUCACUACUGGGAAAACCAUAGCUUUAACUAUAUGGACCUUGGUCGGUAAGGUGACGUCUCUGCUUUAUUUUAAGAUUGUAAUAAAAUUUCAUAGGCAUAGAAUUGUAGUGCUGGAAUGUACCUCAAGGCUCAUCUAGUCCAACCCCCUGCAAUUCAAGGAUGCUUUAUUUAUGUAGACCAUUAAAUCUUCUAGAAUUUGCUUCUAAAUUCAUUGAAGUUAAAACAAAAUUCCUCAUCCAUGUCAAGCCAGUUACAUUUUUAGACCAAUAAAUGUUUACCCUAUUUAGCAUUCUUGCUUGUUAACUUUUGACAUUUGUCCUUUGUUCACAGUAAACAAGCUUGAUACCUUAACUCCCUUU